This 58-nucleotide transfer RNA is filed under the name Dipodomys ordii (Ord's kangaroo rat). It matches the Rfam family "tRNA". Rfam says of the family: Transfer RNA (tRNA) molecules are approximately 80 nucleotides in length. The record is from Rfam by way of RNAcentral. Lineage: Eukaryota; Metazoa; Chordata; Mammalia; Rodentia; Heteromyidae.
GGGAAUGUAGCUUAGUGGUAGAGUGCUUGCCUAGCAUGCAAGAAAGCCCUCAAUACCA